Molecule: ribosomal RNA, 383 nt
Filed under: uncultured bacterium
Lineage: Bacteria
Description: bacterial SSU rRNA
Rfam family: Bacterial small subunit ribosomal RNA
Source: RNAcentral
AUUGAACGCUGGCGGCAUGCUUUACACAUGCAAGUCGAACGGCAGCACGGGGGCAACCCUGGUGGCGAGUGGCGAACGGGUGAGUAAUGCAUCGGAACGUAUCCUUAAGUGGGGGAUAACGCAUCGAAGAUGCGCUAAUACCGCAUAAUCUCUGAGGAGAAAAGCAGGGGAUCGCAAGACCUUGCGCUUUUGGAGCGGCCGAUGUCUGAUUAGCUAGUUGGUGAGGUAAAGGCUUACCAAGGCUUCGAUCAGUAGCUGGGUCUGAGAGGACGACCAGCCACACUGGGACUGAGGACACGGCCCAGACUCCUACGGGAGGCAGCAGUGGGGAAUUUUGGACAAUGGGGGAAACCCUGAUCCAGCCAUGCCGCGUGAGUGAAGAA